RNAcentral lists this transfer RNA (75 nucleotides) under Caudoviricetes sp. Its description in RNAcentral is "tRNA-Thr". It matches the Rfam family "tRNA". From Rfam's summary of the family: Transfer RNA (tRNA) molecules are approximately 80 nucleotides in length. Their secondary structure includes four short double-helical elements and three loops (D, anti-codon, and T loops). Further hydrogen bonds mediate the characteristic L-shaped molecular structure. tRNAs have two regions of fundamental functional importance: the anti-codon, which is responsible for specific mRNA codon recognition, and the 3' end, to which the tRNAs corresponding amino acid is attached (by aminoacyl-tRNA synthetases). tRNAs cope with the degeneracy of the genetic code in two manners: having more than one tRNA (with a specific anti-codon) for a particular amino acid; and 'wobble' base-pairing, i.e. permitting non-standard base-pairing at the 3rd anti-codon position. Lineage: Duplodnaviria; Heunggongvirae; Uroviricota; Caudoviricetes. The record is from RNAcentral.
GCUGGUGUAGCUCAGAGGAAGAGCGAGCGCCUUGUAAGCGCUAGGUCGAGAUUUCAAAAUUCUCCAUCAGCUCCA